UACGUAGGGUGCGAGCGUUGUCCGGAAUUACUGGGCGUAAAGAGCUCGUAGGUGGUUUGUCGCGUUGUCCGUGAAAACUCACAACUCAAUUGCGGGCGUGCGGGCGAUACGGGCAGACUGGAGUACUGCAGGGGAGACUGGAAUUCCUGGUGUAGCGGUGGAAUGCGCAGAUAUCAGGAGAAACACCGGUGGCGAAGGCGGGUCUCUGGGCAGUAACUGACGCUGAGGAGCGAAAGCGUGGGGAGCGAACAGG
RNAcentral lists this ribosomal RNA (253 nucleotides) under uncultured bacterium. Its description in RNAcentral is "partial 16S ribosomal RNA". It matches the Rfam family "Bacterial small subunit ribosomal RNA", at positions 524 to 776 of the family's 1533-position model. The record is from RNAcentral.